RNAcentral lists this ribosomal RNA (351 nucleotides) under uncultured bacterium. Its description in RNAcentral is "bacterial SSU rRNA". It matches the Rfam family "Bacterial small subunit ribosomal RNA", at positions 29 to 384 of the family's 1533-position model. The record is from RNAcentral.
AUUGAACGCUGGCGGCAUGCCUUACACAUGCAAGUCGAGCGCGAAAGGGGGCAACCCCGAGUAGAGCGGCGGACGGGUGAGUAACGCAUCGGAACGUACCCAGUAGUGGGGGACAACCUCGAGAAAUCGAGGCUAAUACCGCAUACGACCCACGGGUGAAAGCGGGGGACCGCAAGGCCUCGCGCUAUUGGAGCGGCCGAUGUCCGAUUAGCUAGUUGGCGGGGUAAGAGCCCACCAAGGCGACGAUCGGUAGCUGGUCUGAGAGGACGACCAGCCACACUGGGACUGAGACACGGCCCAGACUCCUACGGAAGGCAGCAGUGGGGAAUUUUGGACAAUGGGGGCAACCCU